Molecule: ribosomal RNA, 253 nt
Filed under: uncultured bacterium
Lineage: Bacteria
Description: partial 16S ribosomal RNA
Rfam family: Bacterial small subunit ribosomal RNA
Source: RNAcentral
UACGUAGGGGGCUAGCGUUGUCCGGAAUUAUUGGGCGUAAAGAGCUUGUAGGCGGUUUGUCGCGUCUGCCGUGAAAUUUCGAGGCUCAACCUCGAACUUGCGGUGGGUACGGGCAGACUAGAGUGUGGUAGGGGAGACUGGAAUUCCUGGUGUAGCGGUGAAAUGCGCAGAUAUCAGGAGGAACACCGAUGGCGAAGGCAGCUCGCUGGGACGUUACUGACGCUGAGACGCGAAAGCGUGGGGAGCAAACAGG